RNAcentral lists this long non-coding RNA (1952 nucleotides) under Homo sapiens (human). Its description in RNAcentral is "HSALNT0178776". Lineage: Eukaryota; Metazoa; Chordata; Mammalia; Primates; Hominidae. The record is from RNAcentral.
CAGAGAGGAGAGGAGGCUUGCUCCACAGUCUUACAGCUUGGAGCCUUGGCUCCCAGCCCCUCCACCCACCCUCCAUCUCUUGGGUUUCUUCUGGGGGACUCCCUAUUCCAUGGUAGUGGUUUGAAUGUCCACUCAUGGGGAAGCGAAGCAAAGACUCUACAAAAAAUACCCAGAGGCACUUCUGGACAACUAACUUCUCCUCCACACUUCCAUGCCUCUGUGAAAGCCACUCCUUCACAUGAAAUGACAUUGCCUGUUUGUACUGAAGACAGUUAAUUCCUCCAGGGCCUGGACCUAUUACUAGUUUCCUGGAGCCUGGACCAGAUCUAGGUAGAGGACGGCAGCAAGGCAGAAGAAAAGAUGGAAGUUAGUGCAGCAGCAUGGUCACUAACCUGAGCAUCCCACUAGACCUUCAUUCUCUUACUUCUUUGGGAAUGGGGGAAGGAAAAAUGGCUACAGUGGAGGUCACAGAGUAGAAGAGCCCAUCCUCUCCAAAGCCCAACUCUUCUACCUCUAUAACCACCCAGGGUGCCAUUUCCCCUCAACUAGCCAUAAUAGCUGACUCUGCUGAAAAGGCAGAAUCAUUGUCCCUAUCUUUCAGGUUUCUAUUUGAAUGUCAUAUCUUCCAGAAAGCCCUCUAAAAGCUAGUUCUUCCUUUACUUUGCUCUCUAAGUACUUUUCCCACAUUCUAAUUUAUUAUUUCAGUGAAUAUUUAUUCAUCACCCACUAUGCACUGUGUUCUAUACCAUGUACAGGCUCUGUGCUAGAAGUUGAGGCUACAAAGGCAAAUAAGAUGCCAUCAUUAUCUUCAAGUUUGCAGUCUUGUGAGAGGGGGGUUGAGGAAGUGGAGACACAGACACUAUGACAUUAGACAGUGAAAUUAGAAGGCAGCAUUGGGAGUUAAGGGAACAUCCCCUCCAAGCAAGAUUCCUAGGAGAAACAAGACUUGAAUUGCAUCUUGAAAGCUGUUCAUCCACAGACCUUCAAAGGAUGUGCCACCAGUCUCAGCUAUGCAGUAAACAGUCCCGGCAAAGGAUCUUUGUGCAGAUUUGUGAUUAAAGGCAAACAAGAUAAUGAGUCCCAGGACCAGGGGAGAGCAGUCCGCACUCUCAUGCAUUCCUCAAUUCACAUGGCCCUGGAAACCUUUCAGUGUGGCAGUGGCUGUGGCAAUCACUCUGCCAACUGCAGAAUAAAGGGUCCUGUCUGGAAAUGCAAUUAUUUCCAAAUAAAAGGUUUUUAAAAGACACACACGAUAGCAUUUUUGGUUUUCAGAAACUGAUAUACCAAAUAAGGACAAAAAUUAACUUUGUAAAAAAUGAAGAUGAUGAAGACAAUGAAGAGAUGGUGAUGAUGAUGAUGGAUGAAGAUUGUGGUGAUAAGCAUGAUGAAUAUAUUGAGAAGGUGAAGAUGAUGAAGAUGAAGAUGGUGAUGAUGAUGGUAGCAGCAACCACCAUUUUCUGAGCACAUAAAUGUGCCACUCACUAUGUUGGCUACUCUAUAGACAUUAUCUCUAAUUAUUACAAUAACCCUGUAAGACAAAGUUUAGCACCUCCAUUUAACACAUGAGAAACUGAAGCUCAGAGAAGUGAAGUAACCUGCCUGAGGUCACAACCUUAGGCAUGAAAAAGGAUUGACAGAGAUUACUGCUUGAAUUAUUACUCCAAAUCCUGUGCCUCUAACCACUAACAUAACCACUUCAUUUGUUUACUCCUUCAUUUAUUUAAAAAAUUUAUUCAUCUAUUGAAUGAAUGUUUACUUGGUCUCAGAUAUACCUAUGAUACCUGCUAGACCUUCCUAAUCCCCAUUUGUCAAGAAAAUGCCACCACCCUCACAUUAGGGAUAAAUGAAAAUGAGGGUGAAUUAUAUUCAAAUCAAGGUUUAUCAGCCUGGCGUGGUGGCUCAUGCCUGUAAUCCCAGCACUUUGGGAGGCUGAGGUGGGAGGAUCACCUGAG